AAAGGAGCAAACGAAGGGGAAAG
RNAcentral lists this non-coding RNA (23 nucleotides) under Cricetulus griseus (Chinese hamster). The record is from RNAcentral. Lineage: Eukaryota; Metazoa; Chordata; Mammalia; Rodentia; Cricetidae.